This 256-nucleotide ribosomal RNA is filed under the name uncultured bacterium. Its description in RNAcentral is "partial 16S ribosomal RNA". It matches the Rfam family "Bacterial small subunit ribosomal RNA", at positions 524 to 776 of the family's 1533-position model. The record is from RNAcentral.
UACGUAGGGACCAAGCGUUUGUUCGGAAUUACUGGGCGUAAAGCGCGCGUAGGCGGCUUUUUCAAGUCGGAUGUGAAAUCCCCCGGGCUUAACCUGGGAACUGCAUUCGAGACUGUCUAGCUAGAGUAUGGGAGAGGGAAGUGGAAUUUCAGGUGUAGCGGUGAAAUGCGUAGAUAUCUGAAGGAACAUCAGUGGCGAAAGCGACUUCCUGGACCAAUACUGACGCUCAUGUGCGAAAGCGUGGGGAGCAAACAGG